This 624-nucleotide ribosomal RNA is filed under the name uncultured bacterium. Its description in RNAcentral is "bacterial SSU rRNA". It matches the Rfam family "Bacterial small subunit ribosomal RNA", at positions 131 to 769 of the family's 1533-position model. The record is from RNAcentral.
CUUCAGAGGGGGACAACAGUUGGAAACGACUGCUAAUACCGCAUAAUGUAUUCGGAAGGCAUCUUCUGGAUACCAAAGGAGAAAUCCGCUGAUGGAUGGGCUCACGUCUGAUUAGCUAGUUGGUGAGGUAACGGCUCACCAAGGCUGCGAUCAGUAGCCGGACUGAGAGGUUGAACGGCCACAUUGGGACUGAGAUACGGCCCAGACUCCUACGGGAGGCAGCAGUGGGGAAUAUUGGGCAAUGGGCGAAAGCCUGACCCAGCAACGCCGCGUGAAGGAAGAAGGCCUUCGGGUUGUAAACUUCUUUUAAGAGGGACGAAGAAGUGACGGUACCUCUUGAAUAAGCCACGGCUAACUACGUGCCAGCAGCCGCGGUAAUACGUAGGUGGCGAGCGUUAUCCGGAUUUACUGGGUGUAAAGGGCGCGUAGGCGGGAAUGCAAGUCAGAUGUGAAAUCCAAGGGCUCAACCCUUGAACUGCAUUUGAAACUGUAUUUCUUGAGUGUCGGAGAGGUUGACGGAAUUCCUAGUGUAGCGGUGAAAUGCGUAGAUAUUAGGAGGAACACCAGUGGCGAAGGCGGUCAACUGGACGAUAACUGACGCUGAGGCGCGAAAGCGUGGGGAGC